CGUCAUUCUCUUCACGGUGCUAAGUUGGCUUUUAUUAAACAGCGGCGUUUCACCAAAAUAAACAUCAUAAGUCAUUAUUAGACGGUCCAGAAGGAAAAUAUCCCCACAGACUUUAUGGUGGAGACUGAAAAGAUGAAAACAGUCGGAGUUAGAGUGGAUAAAACAGAUGUGGAUGAAGCUGCUCCAACAUCAGCUCCAGCUUCGGGGUACCGACGCGUACUACCGAACCGGACGGAGGGUUCUCGUCCCCAGUCCGGAGUACUAACCCAGAGAAGAACUCAGCGUCCAUUGUCCUCAAGAU
Molecule: long non-coding RNA, 301 nt
Organism: Sphaeramia orbicularis (orbiculate cardinalfish)
Lineage: Eukaryota; Metazoa; Chordata; Actinopteri; Kurtiformes; Apogonidae
Exons: 3
Source: RefSeq, a predicted model, not a curated record